UCUCAGGCUCCUUUUGGAGCCACCAUCACUCCCAUGGAUCUGAAAG
This is a non-coding RNA of Cuculus canorus (common cuckoo), 46 nucleotides long. The record is from Rfam. NCBI's taxonomy places the organism in Eukaryota, Metazoa, Chordata, Aves, Cuculiformes, Cuculidae.